Molecule: non-coding RNA, 76 nt
Organism: Podarcis lilfordi (Lilford's wall lizard)
Lineage: Eukaryota; Metazoa; Chordata; Lepidosauria; Squamata; Lacertidae
Source: the annotation of a GenBank genome assembly
UGAAGGAUAGCUCAGUUGGUUGAGCAUGAGACUCUUAAUCUCAGGGUCAUGGGUUUGAGUCCCACGUCGGGCAAAA